This 904-nucleotide ribosomal RNA is filed under the name uncultured fungus. Its description in RNAcentral is "eukaryotic LSU rRNA". The stretch from base 591 to 904 matches the Rfam family "Eukaryotic large subunit ribosomal RNA", at positions 1 to 308 of the family's 3401-position model. The record is from RNAcentral. Lineage: Eukaryota; Fungi.
UCCGUAGGUGACCUGCGGAAGGAUCAUUAUAGUACAACGGAGGCACCUGGGCUGUCGCUGACCUUAAAGGACGUGCACGCCCGGAGUGCUCUCUCACAUCCAUCUCACCCCUUUGUGCAUCACCGCGUGGGGCCCUCUCCUUUGGCUUGUUCCGGGGAGGGGGUUUCACGUUUUUACACGAACAACCCAUUAAUGCAUGUGUAGAAUGUCUUACUUAUUUUAAAUACAACUUUCAACAACGGAUCUCUUGGCUCUCGCAUCGAUGAAGAACGCAGCGAAAUGCGAUACGUAAUGUGAAUUGCAGAAUUCAGUGAAUCAUCGAAUCUUUGAACGCACCUUGCGCCCCUUGGUAUUCCGAGGGGUGCACCCGUUUGAGUGUCGUGAACACCCUCAACCUUCUUGGUUUAUCGACCGGGAAGGAUUGGACUUUGGAGGUUUUUGUUGCUGGCCUCGUUUGAAGCCAGCUCCUCCUAAAUGAAUUAGUGGGGUCCGCCGUGCCGAUCCUCGACGUGAUAAGUACGCUUCUACGUCUUGGGGUUUCGCACCGUUCUCGCUUCCAACUUCGAGUUGUGACUCGACCUUAUAAACCUUGACCUCAAAUCGGGUGAGACUACCCGCUGAACUUAAGCAUAUCAAUAAGCGGAGGAAAAGAAACUAACAAGGAUUUCCCCUAGUAACUGCGAGUGAAGCGGGAAAAGCUCAAAUUUGGAAUCUGGUGGUCUUUGGGCCAUCCGAGUUGUAAUUUAGAGAAGCGUCUUCCGCGCUGGACCGUGCACAAGUCUCCUGGAAUGGAGCGUCAUAGAGGUGAGAAUCCCGUCUUUGGCAUGGAAUUCCAGGGCUUCUGUGAUGCGCUCUCGACAGUCGAGUUGUUUGGGAAUGCAGCUCAAAUGGGUGGUGGACUCCA